UAAUUUUUAGUGUAAAGGCACAUCAAGUUUUGAAUUUGAAAGCGAUAAAAUAUUAUCAAAAUUAA
This 65-nucleotide transfer RNA is filed under the name Macrocheles glaber. RNAcentral describes it as "tRNA-Gln". The record is from RNAcentral. Lineage: Eukaryota; Metazoa; Arthropoda; Arachnida; Mesostigmata; Macrochelidae.